GUGCCAGCCGCCGCGGUAAUACGAAUGGGGCAAGCGUUGUUCGGAAUCACUGGGCUUAAAGCGUGCGCAGGCGGCCAAGCAAGUCAGAAGUGAAAUCCCAGGGCUCAACCCUGGAAUUGCUUUUGAAACUGCAUGGCUAGAAUCCCGGAGAGGUUAACAGAAUUCCGAGUGUAGAGGUGAAAUUCGCAGAUAUUCGGAGGAAUACCAGUGGCGUAAGCGGUUAACUGGACGGGCAUUGACGCUCAGGCACGAAAGCAUGGGGAGCAAACAGGAUUAGAUACCCUUGUAGUCC
RNAcentral lists this ribosomal RNA (292 nucleotides) under uncultured bacterium. RNAcentral's name for it is "partial 16S ribosomal RNA". It matches the Rfam family "Bacterial small subunit ribosomal RNA", at positions 505 to 796 of the family's 1533-position model. The record is from RNAcentral.